GUUAGGAUUUGAGUCGUUUGUGCUAAACUAGUAUAUAAUUGUUGAGGGGCCAGCUGAAGCACGCGUUAGAGUGCAGGGUUUUCUCGCUGCGUCGACCGACUUCUAAUUUUAUGGUCGGGUUGCUGUCUCUUUGACACAUUCUCUGUUUUUAUUCUCAAUUUUAUUUCUUUUUUCUUUUUCUUUUUUGUAAGUUGAACAUUUUGAAAUAAAAACCAAUGACAGCAAAAGACGCAGGCGAAACACCAGAUUCCGCGGGAGCCGUUACCCUUUAUCAAAAAAUAUACACACCGUUGAAAUAUGUAGAUUUUAUUAUUGUUAAUAAUUUAUUUU
Molecule: long non-coding RNA, 330 nt
Filed under: Mytilus galloprovincialis (Mediterranean mussel)
Lineage: Eukaryota; Metazoa; Mollusca; Bivalvia; Mytilida; Mytilidae
Source: RNAcentral